AAAAAGACAAACCCUGGUUUCUGUGCCCAACGUUUGACCGUCUGUUUUAUUUGAAAAAGUUAUGAAAAAAAUUAAAAAGACAAGUCAUGCAUAAAAUAUUAAUCAUGUUUUAUCAUCUAACAACAAUAAAAAUACGAAUUAUAAAAAAAAUUCAUAUAAGACGGACAAUCAAAGUUAGACACGGAAAUCCAGGGUUUGCCUUUUU
This 205-nucleotide microRNA precursor is filed under the name Oryza sativa Japonica Group (Japanese rice). RNAcentral describes it as "MIR812 microRNA precursor family". It matches the Rfam family "MIR812 microRNA precursor family". The record is from Rfam by way of RNAcentral. Lineage: Eukaryota; Viridiplantae; Streptophyta; Magnoliopsida; Poales; Poaceae.